Molecule: non-coding RNA, 108 nt
Filed under: Streptomyces albireticuli
Lineage: Bacteria; Bacillati; Actinomycetota; Actinomycetes; Kitasatosporales; Streptomycetaceae
Description: Glycine sequence
Rfam family: Glycine riboswitch aptamer
About the family: This family represents the bacterial glycine riboswitch. Glycine riboswitches usually consist of two metabolite-binding aptamers domains with similar structures in tandem.
Source: Rfam by way of RNAcentral
AGACCCCGUGCGGGAGAGUCUUCCGAGAGCCCUCACCGGCUUCUCCGGAGGCGCCGAAGGAGCAAAUCCUCCCCGGAAUCUCUCAGGCACCCGUACCGCAUGGACGAG